AGCCUCAGCACCUGCGGCAGGCCUAACACAUCAAAGUCGGACGGUAAGGCUUAGCAGCUUGCCGCUUCCUAACGAUUGGGGUCCGGUUGAGUAAUUUCUGGAAAACUGCCUCAUGGAAGGGGAUAACAACUGAAAACGUUCGUUAAUAUCCUAUAACGUCGCAAGACAAAGGAGGGGAACCUCCGGGGCUCUUGCCAACAGAUGGGCCAACAAGGAAUUAGGCUUUUUGGUAAGGAAACGGCCCACAAAGGCAACGAUGCCUAGCGGGUUUGAGAGAAUGGCAGCCACACUCGAACUGAGACACGGUCCAGACUCCUACGGGAGGCAGCAGUGGGGAAUAUUGCACAAUGCGCGCAAGCCUGUUGCAGCCAUGCCGCGUGUAUGAAGAAGGCCUUCGGGUUGUAAAGUACUUUCAGCGGGCAAGAAGGUGUUAGGGUUAAAAACAUAAAGAAUUGACGUUACCCGCAGAAGAAGCACCGGCUAACUCCGUGCCAGCAGCCGCCGUAAUACGGAGGGUGCAAGCCCCAAUCGGAAUUAUGGGGCGUAAGGCGAACGCCGGCGGUCUGUCAAGUGGGAUGUGAAAUCCCCGGGCACAAAAUGGGAAAUGCAUUACAAACUGGCAGGUUUGAGUCUUGUAGAGGGCGGUAGAAUUCCAGGUGUAAUAGGGAUGUGAUCCCAGAUCUGGAGGAAUACCGGUGGCGAAGGCGGCCAUAUAUGAUUAGACUGAGAUGAUGGUGCGAAAGCGUGACAGGCAAACAGAUGUAGAUACCGAUGUAGUCCACUUGCCGUGCAGAUGACCUGUGAUACUUGUGCCCUUGAGGCGUGGCUUCCGAUGGUGACCAGGUAAGUAGAGCGCCUGGGGAGUACGGCCGCAAGGUUAAAACUCAAAUGAAUUGACGGGGGCCCGCACAAGCGGUGGAGCAAGUGGUUUAAUUCGAUGCAACGCGAAGAACCUUACCUGGUCUUGACAUCCACAGAACGAUGGCACUGGCCACCGAUGGAUUGGUGCCUGUGCGGGAACUGUGAGAGAGAUGACACACAGCUCGUGUUGUGAAAUGUUGGGUUUAGUCCCGCAACGAGCGCAACCCUUAUCCUUUGUUGCCAGCGGUCCGGCCGGGAACUCAAAGGAGAUGGCCGGUGAUAAACUGGUGGAAGGUGGGGAUGACAGUGAGUCAUCAUUGAGCUUACGACCAGGGCUACACACGAACUACAAUGGCGCAUACAAAGAGAAGCGACCUCGCGAGAGCAAGCGGACCUCAAUAAGUAGUCGUCGUAGSCCGGUGGAGUCUGCAACUCGACUCCAUGAAGUCGGAAUCGCUAGUAAUCGUGCAUCAGAAUGCCACGGGCAAUACUUUCCCGGGCCGGGUACACACCCCCCGUCACACAAUGGGAGUGGGUUGGAGGAGAAGUAGGUACGUUAACCUUCGGGAGGGCGCUUACCACUUUGUGAUUAUCCCCUUGCACGA
This 1466-nucleotide ribosomal RNA is filed under the name Salmonella enterica. Its description in RNAcentral is "partial 16S ribosomal RNA". It matches the Rfam family "Bacterial small subunit ribosomal RNA". Lineage: Bacteria; Pseudomonadati; Pseudomonadota; Gammaproteobacteria; Enterobacterales; Enterobacteriaceae. The record is from RNAcentral.